Molecule: ribosomal RNA, 253 nt
Filed under: uncultured bacterium
Lineage: Bacteria
Description: partial 16S ribosomal RNA
Rfam family: Bacterial small subunit ribosomal RNA
Source: RNAcentral
GACGUAGGGCGCGAGCGUUGUCCGGAUUCAUUGGGCGUAAAGGGUGCGUAGGCGGCGCGGUAAGUCGGGUGUGAAAUCUUCGAGCUUAACUCGGAAACUGCAUUGGAUACUAUUCGGCUAGAGAGUUGGAGGGGGGAUUGGAAUACUUGGUGUAGCAGUGAAAUGCGUAGAUAUCAAGUGGAACACCAGUGGCGAAGGCGAAUCCCUGGACAACUUCUGACGCUGAGGCACGAAAGCUAGGGGAGCAAACAGG